Molecule: ribosomal RNA, 390 nt
Filed under: uncultured bacterium
Lineage: Bacteria
Description: partial 16S ribosomal RNA
Rfam family: Bacterial small subunit ribosomal RNA
Source: RNAcentral
AUACGGAGGAUCCGAGCGUUAUCCGGAUUUAUUGGGCUUAAAGGGUACGCAGGCGGCCAUUUAAGUCAGCGGUUAAUGCGUGGGGCUCAACCCCAUUCUGCCGUUGAUACUGGGUGGAUUGAUUGCGGCCGAGGUUGACGGAAUUCGUUGUGUAGCGGCGAAAUGCAUAGAUAUGACGAAGAACACCGAUUGCGUAGGCAGCUGACCAGACCGCAAAUGACGCUCAUGCACGAAAGUGCGGGGAUCGAACAGGAUUAGAUACCCUGGUAGUCCGCACAGUAAACGAUGAAUACUUGUUUUCGGCGAUAUAAUGUCGGAGGCAAAGCGAAAGCGAUAAGUAUUCCACCUGGGGAGUACGCCGGCAACGGUGAAACUCAAAGGAAUUGACGG